GUCGGGGUAGUUCAGUGGUUAGAACGCUGCGCUCAUAUCGCAGAGGUCGUGGGUUCGAGUCCCACCCUCGACA
This 73-nucleotide transfer RNA is filed under the name Candidatus Aenigmatarchaeota archaeon. RNAcentral describes it as "tRNA-Met". It matches the Rfam family "tRNA". From Rfam's summary of the family: Transfer RNA (tRNA) molecules are approximately 80 nucleotides in length. Their secondary structure includes four short double-helical elements and three loops (D, anti-codon, and T loops). Further hydrogen bonds mediate the characteristic L-shaped molecular structure. tRNAs have two regions of fundamental functional importance: the anti-codon, which is responsible for specific mRNA codon recognition, and the 3' end, to which the tRNAs corresponding amino acid is attached (by aminoacyl-tRNA synthetases). tRNAs cope with the degeneracy of the genetic code in two manners: having more than one tRNA (with a specific anti-codon) for a particular amino acid; and 'wobble' base-pairing, i.e. permitting non-standard base-pairing at the 3rd anti-codon position. Lineage: Archaea; Nanobdellati; Candidatus Aenigmatarchaeota. The record is from RNAcentral.